Molecule: non-coding RNA, 63 nt
Filed under: Sphaerotilus montanus
Lineage: Bacteria; Pseudomonadati; Pseudomonadota; Betaproteobacteria; Burkholderiales; Sphaerotilaceae
Description: Betaproteobacteria toxic small RNA
Rfam family: Betaproteobacteria toxic small RNA
About the family: Overexpression in amino aid rich medium attenuates growth, suggesting role in repressing amino acid intake and metabolism.
Source: Rfam by way of RNAcentral
UGUCUCCUCCACCCUCCUCCAAAGGUGGAUUGAGCCCGAGGUGAAAACCUCGGGCUUUUUUUC